RNAcentral lists this long non-coding RNA (246 nucleotides) under Setaria viridis. Its description in RNAcentral is "long non-coding RNA (SVIR_LNC010726)". Lineage: Eukaryota; Viridiplantae; Streptophyta; Magnoliopsida; Poales; Poaceae. The record is from RNAcentral.
UCCGACUCAGGUUACUUUCCAUGUAACAACUGACUAGAUUAGAUUCAAACUGACUUGUGACCCUAGGUCAUCAGCCUAUAUAAGGUGGCCAAGGGCCCCUCAUGAGGGCAUCUCAACUCUCCGCAUACCAUACCAGCAAUACAAUCCAGCAAAACACAGGACGUAGGGUAUUACUUUCCAGGGGCCUGAACCUAUCUAAACCUUUGUGUCCUCGUGAUUACCUUUGAAUUCUUGAUCUCACAAUCC